UACGGAGGAUCCAAGCGUUAUCCGGAAUCAUUGGGUUUAAAGGGUCCGUAGGCGGUUUAAUAAGUCAGUGGUGAAAGCCCAUCGCUCAACGGUGGAACGGCCAUUGAUACUGUUAAACUUGAAUUAUUAGGAAGUAACUAGAAUAUGUAGUGUAGCGGUGAAAUGCUUAGAGAUUACAUGGAAUACCAAUUGCGAAGGCAGGUUACUACUAAUGGAUUGACGCUGAUGGACUGAAAGCGUGGGUAGCGAACAGGGA
This 256-nucleotide ribosomal RNA is filed under the name uncultured bacterium. Its description in RNAcentral is "partial 16S ribosomal RNA". It matches the Rfam family "Bacterial small subunit ribosomal RNA", at positions 524 to 778 of the family's 1533-position model. The record is from RNAcentral.